GCCUGGCUAGCUCAGUCGGUAGAGCAUGUGACUCUUGAUCUCAGGGUCAUGAGUUCAAGCCCCACAUUAGGCG
RNAcentral lists this transfer RNA (73 nucleotides) under Ailuropoda melanoleuca (giant panda). It matches the Rfam family "tRNA". From Rfam's summary of the family: Transfer RNA (tRNA) molecules are approximately 80 nucleotides in length. Their secondary structure includes four short double-helical elements and three loops (D, anti-codon, and T loops). The record is from Rfam by way of RNAcentral. Lineage: Eukaryota; Metazoa; Chordata; Mammalia; Carnivora; Ursidae.